CAGAGUAACUGGCAUUAAUAAUUCUUCAGCAGGCAAGAACAACUACCCAUAUCGCCAGUCUACCCCCUCCGUCGCCGACGAAGCAAACUGCAGCCAGCCCGCCGAUUAGCCGUCAUCCGCGCCUCCGCUUCUUGAUAAAUAGCAGUUCUAGUCACAGAUCCGGCUUACCAGGGCGCGGUGCUGGGGGUUGUGGUGCCAGAUUUAGUCGAUUGAGGGAGCAUAAACCAACUGCGGCGGCGUGUUGAGAAGGCACCGCAAGGGGGAUCCAUGGGGAAGCUGAGAAGGUCGAGGAGUUGCGAAGGAAUGUAUUUCAGGGAGUAUGCCGGCUUGCCGGAUAGAACCGAGUUUGUGAACAACGCAGAUAAGGAGGAAGCAAGUUAUGGAAGAAGCUUUUAUCUUAUUCAACCACGAAACAUCGGUCCUGACCUAUAGAAUGGCAACGUCGCCCGAGACGAAUCGUUCGAUGUUGAUGCAGAUACAGCAGGAACAAAAAACCACAGGGAGGAGAUAAACACAACAUGUGGCAGGAUUUUAGAUGGAAAGGAACCACAGACCACUGCCUUACGAACUGAUGGUGAGCAGCCAGAGGUAAACAGAAUGAACAAUGGCGUCUGUCAUGCGGAAACGAGCAUGAAAUUUCCCCCAAGAGAAGGUGUCAUGAAGAUAAAUUCUGAAGGCUGGACAUGCAGGGUUAGGAUUGGCGUGGCACCAGAUGAGCGAGAGAUCAAUCCAGAACGGAUUAGUGCUCUGGAAAAUUCAAUAAAGAACUACGCAGAGAGGAAGAGCAAUACAGUAGUUAAUCCUAUGGUGGGAACUUCGUUCGACAGCCUGGAAGACGCAUACGACUUUUAUAACCUGUAUUCAUGGGAAGUAGGUUUUGGCAUCAGAUAUGCGAAAUGCAGGUUGAACGUUCACCGGAAAAAGUGUAUGCAGGAGAUUGUUUGCGGCUGUGCGGUAAGUCGGUGCAAUGAUUAGGUGUCUUAUCAGGUUGUAAAUUUUUUUUGAGGGGAAACCAUUGCAUGAGAAUAGCAGGUCCGCUAGGUGUGGCUGCCCGGCAUUGAUCCGACUGCUAAGAUCGGAGGACAAGGGAUGGUACAUAUGUGAGCAUAGGGAUCAACACAACCAUGAACUGUCGAAGACAUGCGGUGAGAAGCUUCAUUGGCAAUCACAUAGGCACAUGGAUCGUUACACUAAACAACUUGUGAAGCAGCUAUGGGAGAACAACAUCAACCUUGGGAAGGUGUACAGUAUCAUUGGUAGUUUCUUUGGGAGCAUGGACCGUAUACCUUUUACCAAGAGAUCUCUGAAAACGCUAUGCGGGAAGAUCAGCCGCGAACAGUCGGACAAUGAUGCAGCAAAGACGUUGGACGUGUUCAGCAAGAUGCUGAAGGCAGACCCUGAUUUCAAAUACACGGUGCAGGUUGACGAUGAUAGCAGAAUAAAGAACCUGAUGUGGACAUCAGGGAAGAGCAUGGACCAAUACAUAUGUUUCGGAGAUGUGAUAACUUUUGAUACCACGUACCAGACAAACCUCUAUGACAUGCCUUUCGGACUUUUCGUUGCUGUCAACAACCAUUUCCAGAGCAUAAUAUUAGGUGGAGUACUAAUGAGGGAUGAGAAGGUGGAGAGUUUUAAAUGGGUGUUCGUGGAGUUCAUGUGGAUGAUUGGUGGGAAGGACCGUCACCCAAAGGCAAUACUAACAGAUCAGGCUAGGAUGGAGGUUGCCAUUGCUGAAGUUUUGCCGAAUACGAAAACCGUUGGUGCAAGUGGCAUGUGCUCAAAAAGGCUAUAGAGUGGUUGGGGCUUUGUACGGGAAGAAGAGUGAGUUCAGGACUGAGUUCCACAGGUUGGUUAACCUCAUGUGCACUGAGGAGGAGUUCGAGAAGUGCUGGGCAGAGAUGCUGGAGAAAUAUGGCCUCCAGAAGAAACCAUGUCUUACUCAGAUAUAUGAGGUACGGCGUAAAUGGGCUAAACCUUAUUUCAGGGACAUUUUCUGUGCAAAAAUGACGAGCACACAAAGGAGCGAGAGCGCAAACCAUGUCCUAAAGACUUAUGUCCCAACAAGAUGCCCAAUGCACCUAUUUGUGAAGCAGUACGAGAAGCUUCAGUUCGACCGUGAUUCAGAGGAGAGCUAUCAGGAAAAAAGGACUUCACUGAGUGGGGUCGUGUUGAGGGCAAAUUUACCAAUUGAGGUGCACGCUAGCAAGGUGUAUACUAGGACUAUGUUUGAGCAAUUUGGUCAGACUCUUUUCGAGUCAGGGCAAUACGUCCUGGAAGAGCUGGAGGCACGGAGCAAAUUCACUGUUCGUCGCACAAGUCAUGUCCUCAGAGAGAAAUAGAUCAAGAGUAUAUAUCGCAGAGUUACCAAAUCCACUCACCAAGAUGCCGCUAGGAAAGAGAGCCGAAGCAGCUCGCGAGGGCUCCGGCGGCAGGAGACACGAGAGAGAGCCAGCCAAAAUAUGAAGGCUAUUUCACGUGGAGGGCCGAGGACUGGGAGUCUAGGAGGCGAGAACUUUGCCCCGCCCCGCCCCACCUUGUACUGGAGAUAAUUUCUCCGGAUACGCAGGACACGAUAUCUUUGUAUGCACAGGACAUGUCCUGUGUACGCAGAGCAGCUUGGUGAUUUCUUAAGAUUGGGGGCAUGGACAUGGCUGAUGGCUGCUGGAACUUGGCGCGACGACACCGGCGUUUCAUGGAUGGUUAAUCUAAUUAAUAAGCUCCUGAUUGGCCCGACGACACCAGCGUUUUGUUGAUCGCCCGGCAGUUAAUCUAAUUAAUAAGCUGUUGAUUGAGUCCCAA
This is an RNA transcript of Brachypodium distachyon (stiff brome), 2799 nucleotides long. It is a transcript of the gene named putative protein FAR1-RELATED SEQUENCE 10, with no coding region annotated. The transcript has 7 exons. NCBI's taxonomy places the organism in Eukaryota, Viridiplantae, Streptophyta, Magnoliopsida, Poales, Poaceae. The record is from RefSeq and is a predicted model, not a curated record.